Molecule: ribosomal RNA, 804 nt
Filed under: Triticum aestivum (bread wheat)
Lineage: Eukaryota; Viridiplantae; Streptophyta; Magnoliopsida; Poales; Poaceae
Description: partial small subunit ribosomal RNA
Source: RNAcentral
CCGGAGUCUCCGGUCCCGGUCCCGCCUCCUCUCCUCCGCGCGCACGACCCCCGUCCUCCUCCCCGCCGCCGCGAUGGCCGCCCCGGCCCCCGCCGCCUCCUCGAAGAGGGACCUGCUCAUCUCUCCGCGAAGUUCGCCGCCGAGAGGGGCGCCUUCACCGUCGUGCUCUCCGGCGGAUCCCUCAUCUACGCCCUCAGGUCCCUGACGGAGGCGCCGUACCUGGAGACGGUUGACUGGAGCAAGUGGCAUGUGUUCUGGGUAGACGAGAGGGUCGUGCCCAAGGACCAUGAGGAUAGCAACUACAAGCUCGCCCUCGAUGGGUUCCUCUCCAAGGUACCAAUUCCUGCUGGUCAAGUGUAUGCUAUCAAUGAUGCCUUGUCUGCUGAGGGAGCAGCAGAGGACUAUGAAACUAUCUUGAAGCAACUUGUUAAGAAUGGCGUCCUUGCAAUGUCAAAGACAACUGGGUUUCCCAGGUUCGAUCUCCAGCUUCUUGGCAUGGGCCCGGACGGCCACAUCGCCUCUCUCUUCCCAGGCCAUCCUCUUGUUAAAGAGAACACAAAGUGGGUCACCCACAUCUUGGACUCUCCAAAGCCGCCGCCACAGAGAAUCACGUUCACGUUUCCGGUGAUCAACUCGUCCGCAUAUGUCGCCAUGGUGGUAACUGGGGCUGGGAAAGCCGGCGCAGUGCAGAAGGCGAUCUCGGACAAGAAGACUUCUGAUUUGCUCCCUGUUGAGAUGGCUAUACUUGAUGAUGGAGAAUUCACCUGGUUCACUGACAAGGAGGCGGUGUCGAUGCUGCAGAAC